This is a long non-coding RNA of Syngnathus typhle (broad-nosed pipefish), 414 nucleotides long. RefSeq lists it as uncharacterized. The record is from RefSeq and is a predicted model, not a curated record. The transcript is spliced from 3 exons. Lineage: Eukaryota; Metazoa; Chordata; Actinopteri; Syngnathiformes; Syngnathidae.
CUUGGAGGAGGCGAAAAAUAAAUAAGAUGAGUAGAGGACAUGAUCAUUAAGUGACACCGUGCUACUGUUGACAACUCAUUUCAAAACGGAGGCAGCGGGGUCCCGCCUUUGAUCUACUCUUUGGAGCGACAGCUGUUGUCGACAGGUUUGCGUUUCUUGCCAUGAGCGCUGACCUCCGACGUAUUCCUCGCCGCGGCCGACUUUGUGAUUUGAGCCAGUGAGGUGGGCUGUUUUGCGUGUCAGCCGGGACGGGACGCCCGCUGUACUUCAUGGGAAAGUGCGUGGGCAACACUGAGACAAUAUCCAAGCUGCGGCGACAUUGCGACGCUCUCGGGGAAAAUAGAGUGUCGGCGCGAUGCCACCAGGCGUCCGAGGCCCUCGCAGAUGGGAUGGAGUGCGGCACGAUGAGUGGGA